GUGACCACUUUGGCAGCACGUCUACUAAAAUUGGAACAAUACAGAGAUUAGCAUGGCUGUUGUGCAAGGAUGACAUGCACAUUCGUGAAAUGUUCUGUAUAUUU
Molecule: small nuclear RNA, 104 nt
Filed under: Physeter macrocephalus (sperm whale)
Lineage: Eukaryota; Metazoa; Chordata; Mammalia; Artiodactyla; Physeteridae
Source: RNAcentral